AUUAUCUGAGUAGGCUGAACCAUCAGUGAAAAAGAGGCCAAGCAUCUCAAAAAUAGGACACCUGAGAAUAUGGAGCCAACGUGACACUCAGAUUUGACACAUACAGAAGUGUGAAAAGCUCUUGUGCAACUAGGAUUGGUCCUCUGCAGUGAGAACAUGCCUGGGAUAGUGUACUGAAAAGAUGUGAGAAAUGCGUGAAGCAGAGUCCAGUCAUCUUAGUCAAGAACCAGCUGCGAAUCUAACCAUUAGACUUUGAGGCAAGUCCAGACCAAGGCCAAGGAACCACUGGCCUUAAAGACUGACCUGCAGGUUGCUGAGCUAAAUAAAAGUUUAUUGUUGAA
Molecule: non-coding RNA, 341 nt
Organism: Saimiri boliviensis boliviensis (Bolivian squirrel monkey)
Lineage: Eukaryota; Metazoa; Chordata; Mammalia; Primates; Cebidae
Source: RefSeq, a predicted model, not a curated record